GCUAUUUAGGUUAGAGUUUGAUCAUGGCUCAGGACGAACGCUGGCGGCGUGCUUAACACAUGCAAGUCGAGCGGUAAGGCCCUUUCGGGGGUACACGAGCGGCGAACGGGUGAGUAACACGUGGGCGACCUGCCCUCAGCUCUGGGAUAAGCCCGGGAAACUGGGUCUAAUACCGGAUAUGACCACAUGUCGCAUGGUGUGUGGUGGAAAGUUUUUUCGGCUGGGGAUGGGCCCGCGGCCUAUCAGCUUGUUGGUGGGGUGAUGGCCUACCAAGGCGACGACGGGUAGCCGGCCUGAGAGGGUGACCGGCCACACUGGGACUGAGACACGGCCCAGACUCCUACGGGAGGCAGCAGUGGGGAAUAUUGCGCAAUGGGCGAAAGCCUGACGCAGCGACGCCGCGUGGGGGAUGACGGCCUUCGGGUUGUAAACCUCUUUCAGCAGGGACGAAGCGAAAGUGACGGUACCUGCAGAAGAAGCACCGGCCAACUACGUGCCAGCAGCCGCGGUAAUGUCGGGCCC
Molecule: ribosomal RNA, 522 nt
Filed under: uncultured bacterium
Lineage: Bacteria
Description: bacterial SSU rRNA
Rfam family: Bacterial small subunit ribosomal RNA
Source: RNAcentral